CCUACGGGAGGCAGCAGUGAGGAAUAUUGGUCAAUGGACGGAAGUCUGAACCAGCCAUGCCGCGUGCAGGAAGACGGCUCUAUGAGUUGUAAACUGCUUUUGUACAAGGGUAAACCUGAAUACGUGUAUUCAGCAGAAAGUACUGUACGAAUAAGGAUCGGCUAACUCCGUGCCAGCAGCCGCGAUAAUACGGAGGAUCCAAGCGUUAUCCGGAUUUAUUGGGUUUAAAGGGUGCGUAGGCGGAUUGAUAAGUUAGAGGUGAAAUGUCCGAGCUUAACUCGGGAACUGCCUCUAAUACUGUUGAUCGAGAGAGUAGAUGCGGUAGGCGGAAUGUAUGGUGUAGCGGUGAAAUGCUUAGAGAUAAUACAGAACACCGAUUGCGAAGGCAGCUUACCAAUCUAUAUCUGACGUUGAGGCACGAAAGCGUGGGGAGCAAACAGGAUUAGAUACCCUGGUAGUC
RNAcentral lists this ribosomal RNA (460 nucleotides) under uncultured bacterium. RNAcentral's name for it is "partial 16S ribosomal RNA". It matches the Rfam family "Bacterial small subunit ribosomal RNA", at positions 338 to 795 of the family's 1533-position model. The record is from RNAcentral.